Molecule: long non-coding RNA, 727 nt
Filed under: Fukomys damarensis (Damara mole-rat)
Lineage: Eukaryota; Metazoa; Chordata; Mammalia; Rodentia; Bathyergidae
Description: lncRNA (ENSFDAG00000022075.1)
Source: RNAcentral
AUUUUAAAUCAUCCUAUUCAUAUUGUUUUGUUCUUUUCACCACAGGGCUUAUUAUUCACUUCUGCUUUGAAAAGCACAACCUGGGAGGCCAUAAAAAUGAAAAUAAUGUGAUAGCACUUUUCCCUGCUGAUGGUUGGACAUGCUUGCUACUUACAGUUGAAAAGCAUCACCUUCAAGUUCAUCUCAGGAGGCUUCAUGCCAUGAAAGGAAGGCCUGAGAGGACCUCGAGCUGCAGGAAUCUUGAGACCUUUGGUGCUACCGGGUGACACUUCAGCUCAGAGAAGGAUUCAGCACUCCUGCAGCCCAGAAACUCCACUCUGUCAGCACAAAGGAAUUCAGGAUGAGCCUAAAACAACAGCAUGCUACAGGACCAUGGUAAAGUUUUGGGGUUCAGGAGAAAACCUGUCCCAUCAGGGUGGAAGGGGGAGCCUGACCACUUAUCAGGGUAUCCUGAGUAAUCUAACCCAGAUUAAAUUGGACUGCACUGGCACCCCAAGCAGGACUGAAGUGCAGUGAGAAUUGAUUCACUGGGGUGGUGCCAGGGCCAUGGGAGUGGCCCGCCAUGGGAGAAGCUCUUGGUCAGUGGUAUCCAAACUAAGUCAGAGGAAACCAACAAGCCCAAGUGGAACAUGGUUGUGGCCCAUGGUUGUGAACAUGGUUCUGGCUCACAAAAAGUGUGCCAGGUAGUCAAACUCCAGCAAAAAUCACACUCAGGUGUACUGAGUCG